GUGAAUCAUCAAAUCUUUGAACGCAAAUUGCGCUCCCUGGCACUCCGGGAAGUAUGCCUGUUUGAGGGUCAGUAUUAAUAAAAAUCGGUGUAGUUACUAAUUGUCACGUUUCCGGAGUUUGGGCUAUCUUACCAUUUUUGGUUUAGAGGCUUAAAAUUGUCCUAUUUUGCUCUUUUUUAAACUUACAUAAAUUUUUUUUAUUCGUCUAGUCUUAAUGCCAAAAUCUUAUCAGACGCGAUCACCGCGUCUGGCUUCGUGCC
RNAcentral lists this unclassified non-coding RNA (260 nucleotides) under Rhizophagus sp. (in: glomeromycetes). RNAcentral describes it as "partial contains 5.8S ribosomal RNA and internal transcribed spacer 2". The stretch from base 1 to 71 matches the Rfam family "5.8S ribosomal RNA", at positions 84 to 154 of the family's 154-position model. Lineage: Eukaryota; Fungi; Glomeromycota; Glomeromycetes; Glomerales; Glomeraceae. The record is from RNAcentral.